GAUUAAGAUAGUUUAGUCAUAUUCGACAUAAAUUAUUGAAUUUCCUAGUACAGAAGUGUGAUAAAUUAGUGAUGGAAGCAGUGAGAAGGGAAAAAGGAAGAUCUAAAAUGAUGCGAAAGGAAGUAGAAUGAUACAAUUUUUGGAUAUUUAAGCGAAAUUGAUUUCAAAUAGGGUUGAAUGGCAAAAUGGAUCCAUAUAACCGAUCUCAACUAUUUUGGGAUUAAACCUUAGUUGUUGUUGUAUUGAUCUCAACUAAGGUUGGCGCUUUGUGAUUCAAAAGUUAUGAGUUCCAGUUAUGGAAAUAGCCUCUCUCAAAAAGCAUGGGGAAGGCCACAUACAAUGGACAACCCUCCCCCUAGUCACACAUUUACACUGGUCAUGAAGAAUGAUGAGUGAUAAUUUUAUGAAAUAGCCAUAGGGUAAACCAGAA
Molecule: unclassified non-coding RNA, 430 nt
Filed under: Hevea brasiliensis (rubber tree)
Lineage: Eukaryota; Viridiplantae; Streptophyta; Magnoliopsida; Malpighiales; Euphorbiaceae
Source: RNAcentral